Long non-coding RNA from Dermacentor silvarum, 331 nucleotides. RefSeq lists it as uncharacterized. NCBI's taxonomy places the organism in Eukaryota, Metazoa, Arthropoda, Arachnida, Ixodida, Ixodidae. The record is from RefSeq and is a predicted model, not a curated record. The transcript is spliced from 3 exons.
GGACGUGCUCGUCCACACGUGGUACUUGUCGGCAGAUUUCCAACUCUUUCUGGUCGCUCUUCCGACCCUUCGGAUAUUGAGAGGUCGCAAGAUGGCGCUCGUGGCAGCGUUCUCUGUGCUUUCGGUGCUUGGCUGUGCCAUCGGAACAUGGGUCGUGGCGCGCAAUCAUCUGCUGCCUUUUAUGAUCUUUCCCGGCCCUGACGUCCCUUUGCUGACGAGAACACAGAGCGAAUACUACAUUCGGCCGUACUAUCACGCAGUCUGCUAUUUUAGCGGCUGCAUGACGUUUCUCUUGAUGGAAGACUUUAGGAAGAGAAAUAUCACUAAGGUA